GGGGCCUCGGUGAGCCAAGAAUAGGCCGCGGGCAAAGCCGCACACAAAAAUAACCGCCCGAAGGCCGGGACGCCAAGUUCGUCCAGCGGAAAAAGGCCACAAAAACGGGUGGGCUAUAGCCUUGGGGGGUGGGGCUGGCCAACUUCGUCCGCCGGACUCGGAAUGCCGCAAGAUUUUGCGAGGGGCCUCCGUGUGCCAAAAAUAGGCCGCGGGCAAAGCCGCGCCCAAAAAUAACAGCCCGAAGGCCGGUGCGCCAAGUUCGUCCAGCGGAAAAAGGCCACAAAAACGGGUGGGCUAUAGCCUUGGGGGGUGGGGCUGGCCCACUUUGUCCGCCGGACUCGGAAUGCCGCGAGACUUUGCGAGGGGCCUCCGUGUGUUAAAAAUAGGCUGCAGGCAAGGCCGAGCCCAAAAAUAAACGCCCGAAGGCCGGGGCGCCAAGUUCGUCCAGCGGAAAAAGGCCACAAAAACGGGUGGGCUAUAGCCUUGGGGGGUGGGGCUGGCCAACUUCGUCCGCCGGACUCGGAAUGCCGUGAGACUUUGCGAGGGGCCUCCGUGUGCAAAAAAUAGGCCGCGGACAAAGCCGUACCCAAAAAUAACUGGCCGAAGGCCGGGGCACCAAGUUCGUCCAGCGGAAAAAGGCCAGAAAAACGGUCGGGCUAUAGCCUUGGGGGGUGGGGCUGGCCAACUUCGUCCGCCGGACUCGGAAUGCCGCGAGACUUUGCGAGGGGUCUCCGUGUGCCAAAAAUAGGCCACGGGCAAAGCCGCGCCCACAAAUAACCGCCCGAAGGCCGGGGCUCCAUGUUCGUCCAGCGGAAAAAGGCCACAAAAACGGGUCGGCUAUAGCCUUGGGGGGGUGGGGCGGGCCAACUUCGUCCGCCGGAUUCGGAAUGCCGCGAGACUUUGCGAGGGGCUUCCACGUGCCAAAAAUAGGCCGCGGGCAAAGCCGUGCCUAUAAAUAACCACCCGAAGGCCGGGUCGCCAAGUUCGACCAGCGGAAAAAGGCCACAAAAACGGGUGGGCUAUAGCCUUGGGGGGUGGGGCUGGUCUACUUUGUCCGCCCGACUCGGAAUACCGCGAGCCAUUGCGAGGGGCCUCCUUGAACCAAGAAUAGGCCGCGGGCAAAUCCGCACACAAAAAUAACCGCCCAAAGGCCGGGGGCCAAGUUCGUCCACCGGAAAAAGGCCAGAAAAACGGGUGGGCUAUAGCCUUGGGGGGUGGGGCUGGUCUACUUUGUCCGCACGACUCCGAAUGCCGCGAGACUUUGUGAGGGGCCUCCGUAAGCCAAAACUAGGCCACGGACAAAGCCGCUCCCAAAAAUAACCGCCC
This 1326-nucleotide long non-coding RNA is filed under the name Citrus x clementina. Its description in RNAcentral is "Citrus clementina (C. clementina) long non-coding RNA (CCLE_LNC003717)". The record is from RNAcentral. Lineage: Eukaryota; Viridiplantae; Streptophyta; Magnoliopsida; Sapindales; Rutaceae.